UACGUAGGGUCCGAGCGUUGUCCGGAAUUACUGGGCGUAAAGAGCUCGUAGGUGGUUUGUCGCGUUGUUCGUGAAAACUCACAGCUCAACUGUGGGCGUGCGGGCGAUACGGGCAGACUUGAGUACUGCAGGGGGAGACUGGAAUUCCUGGUGUAGCGGUGGAAUGCGCAGAUAUCAGGAGGAACACCGGUGGCGAAGGCGGGUCUCUGGGCAGUAACUGACGCUGAGGAGCGAAAGCGUGGGGAGCGAACAGG
RNAcentral lists this ribosomal RNA (254 nucleotides) under uncultured bacterium. Its description in RNAcentral is "partial 16S ribosomal RNA". It matches the Rfam family "Bacterial small subunit ribosomal RNA", at positions 524 to 776 of the family's 1533-position model. The record is from RNAcentral.